CUCAGAGCUCUCGCAGGGCAGAGCCCUGGCGCGAUAACGCUGGAGCCCUCUGAAAGUUUGAGCAGGAGAGAGGAGGAGGAGGAGGAGGAGGAGGAGAAAGCGGGAGCGAGAAAAUCGAGAGCAACACCUAAGGAAGAGCGAGAAGUUGCUGCAGGAUCCGGACGCUGCCGAGACGGAUACCCGGGAAUUUCGGGCGCCGAGACCCGGGCGCUGUGUGCUCAGCCAGCCCCGCUUCCAGCCCCAGAGCACGGACAGCACAUAGAAAUGAAGAUUAACCUGCGUUUGUGCUAAAGCAUCCACCCCCCCCCCCCCCCCCAAAAAAAAGUUCGUCCU
This 333-nucleotide long non-coding RNA is filed under the name Struthio camelus australis. RNAcentral describes it as "lncRNA (ENSSCUG00000009598.1)". The record is from RNAcentral. Lineage: Eukaryota; Metazoa; Chordata; Aves; Struthioniformes; Struthionidae.